Molecule: ribosomal RNA, 347 nt
Filed under: uncultured bacterium
Lineage: Bacteria
Description: partial 16S ribosomal RNA
Rfam family: Bacterial small subunit ribosomal RNA
Source: RNAcentral
CCUACGGGAGGCUGCAGUGAGGAAUAUUGGUCAAUGGGCGCGAGCCUGAACCAGCCAAGUAGCGUGAAGGAUGACGGCCCUACGGGUUGUAAACGUCUGUUAUAAAGGAAGAAAGUGAGGCACGUGUGCCUUUUUGUAUGUACUUUAUGAAUAAGGAUCGGCUAACUCCGUGCCAGCAGCCGCGGUAAUACGGAGGAGCCGAGCGUUAGCCGGAUUGAGUGGGUUUAACGGGAGCGUAGAUGUGUUGUUCAGUCAGUUGUGAAAGUUUGCGGCUCAACCGUAAAAUUGCAAUUGAUACUGGCAGUCUUGAUUACAGUUGAGGUAGGCGGAAUUCGUGUUGUAGCGGU